GAGGAUAUAGCUCAAGGGGUAGAGUGUGCGCUUGGCAUGUACAAGGCCCUGGGUUCAAUCCCCAAUAACUCCU
Molecule: transfer RNA, 73 nt
Filed under: Camelus bactrianus (Bactrian camel)
Lineage: Eukaryota; Metazoa; Chordata; Mammalia; Artiodactyla; Camelidae
Also listed under: 2 other names
Rfam family: tRNA
About the family: Transfer RNA (tRNA) molecules are approximately 80 nucleotides in length. Their secondary structure includes four short double-helical elements and three loops (D, anti-codon, and T loops).
Source: Rfam by way of RNAcentral